GCCCCCGUAGCUCAACUGGUAGAGCAGGAUCCUUUUAAGAUCAAGGUUUCCCGUUCGAGUCGGGACGGGGGCA
This 73-nucleotide transfer RNA is filed under the name bacterium. RNAcentral's name for it is "tRNA-Lys". It matches the Rfam family "tRNA". From Rfam's summary of the family: Transfer RNA (tRNA) molecules are approximately 80 nucleotides in length. Their secondary structure includes four short double-helical elements and three loops (D, anti-codon, and T loops). The record is from RNAcentral.